This 417-nucleotide ribosomal RNA is filed under the name Triticum aestivum (bread wheat). RNAcentral describes it as "partial small subunit ribosomal RNA". The record is from RNAcentral. Lineage: Eukaryota; Viridiplantae; Streptophyta; Magnoliopsida; Poales; Poaceae.
AUGCGGGCGAAGCCGGCCGGAGUGCCGUAUGAGGAGUGCUGUGUCGGCACGCUGAUUUACACCUCGCCGGAGCAGCUGCAAGGCAACCGGCACUACGGCCAGGCCGUGGACACGUGGGCGCUUGGGUGCGUGCUACGUGAUGGCGGAGCUGCUGGCCGCCUGUUCGUGGCGCAGACAGAGGAGGAGCUGGUCGCUGAGAUGUACAAGCUGCGAGACCAGAUCAGUUCCACGGGGAUGCUCGGCUUGGAUUUCUUCGAGGAGUUUUCGGAGGCCGGGCGUGAGGUCCUGACCGGCCUGCUCGCCUUCAACCCCGACGAGAAGAUCACGGCGGCCGAAGCGCUCGACCGCCGGUGGUUCAGCAAGCCGUGCGCUUCCAGGGGAGCAGAGCAUCCUGGCUUUGUGACAUUAAUCAGUUAA